ACUCCUACGGGAGGCAGCAGUGGGGAAUCUUGGACAAUGGGGCAACCCUGAUCCAGCCAUGCCGCGUGAGUGAUGAAGGCCUUAGGUCGUAAAGCUCUUUCGCCUGUGAUGAUAAUGACAGUAGCAGGUAAAGAAACCCCGGCUAACUCCGUGCCAGCAGCCGCGGUAAUACGGAGGGGGUUAGCGUUGUUCGGAAUUACUGGGGCGUAAAGCGCGCGUAGGCGGAUUAGUCAGUUAGAGGUGAAAUCCCAGGGCUCAACCCUGGAACUGCCUUUAAUACUGCUAGUCUUGAGUUCGAGAGAGGUGAGUGGAAUUCCGAGUGUAGAGGUGAAAUUCGUAGAUAUUCGGAGGAACACCAGUGGCGAAGGCGGCUCACUGGCUCGAUACUGACGCUGAGGUGCGAAAGUGUGGGGA
RNAcentral lists this ribosomal RNA (414 nucleotides) under uncultured bacterium. RNAcentral's name for it is "bacterial SSU rRNA". It matches the Rfam family "Bacterial small subunit ribosomal RNA", at positions 335 to 767 of the family's 1533-position model. The record is from RNAcentral.